AACGUAGGAGACAACCGUUAUCCGGAGUUACUGGGCGUAAAGGGCGUGUAGGUGGUUAUGUAAGUCUGGCGUGAAAUUUUUCGGCUUAACCGGGAAAGGUCGUCGGAUACUGCAGAACUAGAGGACGGUAGAGGCGUGUGGAAUUCCGGGUGUAGUGGUGAAAUGCGUAGAGAUCCGGAGGAACACCAGUGGCGAAGGCGACACGCUGGGCCGUACCUGACACUGAUGCGCGACAGCAUGGGGAGCAAACAGG
RNAcentral lists this ribosomal RNA (253 nucleotides) under uncultured bacterium. Its description in RNAcentral is "partial 16S ribosomal RNA". It matches the Rfam family "Bacterial small subunit ribosomal RNA", at positions 524 to 776 of the family's 1533-position model. The record is from RNAcentral.